AACGAACGCUGGCGGCAUGCCUAACACAUGCAAGUCGAACGAGACCUCAGGGUCUACUGGCUCAUGGGUGCGUAACGCGUGGGACCCUGCCCUUAGGCUCGGAAUAACACUCCGAAAGGGGUGCUAAUACCGGAUAAUGUACUCGGAUCACAGAUUGAUCGUCUUUGUAUGAGCCCGCGUUGUUCUAGCUUGUUGGUAGGGUAAAAGCCUACCACGGCGUGGAUCCAUAGCUGGUCUGAGAGGAUGAUCAGCCACACUUGGACUGAGACACGGCGCAGACUCCUAUGGGAGGCAGCAGUGGGGAAUAUUGGACAAUGGGCGAAGUCCUGAUCCAGCAAUGCCGCGUGAGUGAUGAAGGCCUUAGGGUUGUAAAGCUCUUUUACCCGGGAUUGUAAUGACAGUACCGGGAGAAUAAGCUCCGGCUAACUCCGUG
This 433-nucleotide ribosomal RNA is filed under the name uncultured bacterium. Its description in RNAcentral is "partial 16S ribosomal RNA". It matches the Rfam family "Bacterial small subunit ribosomal RNA", at positions 29 to 507 of the family's 1533-position model. The record is from RNAcentral.